CGGUGUCUAAUACCGCAUAUGGUCUUCGGAUUAAAGCUUCGGCGGUUUGGGAAGAGCCCGCGUAAGAUUAGCUAGUUGGUGAGGUAAUGGCUCACCAAGGCGACGAUCUUUAACUGGUUUGAGAGGAUGAUCAGUCACACUGGAACUGAGACACGGUCCAGACUCCUACGGAGGCAGCAGUGAGGAAUUUCCACAAUGGGCGAAAGCCUGAUGGAGCAACGCCGCGUGCAGGAUGAAGGCUUUAGGGUUGUAAACUGCUUUUAUAUGUGACGAAUAUGACGGUAGCAUAUGAAUAAGGAUCGGCUAACUCCGUG
Molecule: ribosomal RNA, 314 nt
Filed under: uncultured bacterium
Lineage: Bacteria
Description: bacterial SSU rRNA
Rfam family: Bacterial small subunit ribosomal RNA
Source: RNAcentral